UUUUUACUGUAUCUACGAUCUGAAACAGUUUCUCCCUAUUCUUCAGCAUAUAUCUCAAGUUCCUUCUUCAUAAAAUAUUUUUAUAAUCCUCUAAUUCAUUAAUGAGCCUUAUUUCCCUCCUCCUCCAUCAAUCUAUCAAUUUCUUAACAGUGGGGCUUGUGGUGGUGUAUUUGCUGAAGCCAGUGCUGUGCACACAGGACUGUCUGCUUAUUGACAUAAACUGUAAGUAAAAGAACAGUUACAGUAAUUCAAUUUUUCCAAACUUGAGGCCAGAAAAGUUCAAAUUCAAUGACAAAUAUAAUUAAGAAGCUGGAUAACAGACAUUUAUGCAGGAAAGGAAGGAAAAUUCUCUUGCAAAUAUAUUUUCAUAAAAUCAUCUCCCAAAUGUAAAUAACCAGCAAAUGCUUUAACAAAUAUUCUGAGAAGUGAAAAAAACUCCCACCUUUAAAUAGAGUUCCGAAAGUAGUGGCACAACACACUUGCUGCACUUGUACUUGCUACUGAGCUGUUAUGGCCCUGGUGAGCCUGGGAGGCGGAACAAUGGGUUACUGGCCCCAACUGUAUCCUUUUCUCCCACUGCUUCCUGCAUCUGAAAUCUUUUCUUCAUUCUCUGGCUUGUUGAAAUCACGUCUUUAUUUACUUUGAGAUUCAG
This 652-nucleotide long non-coding RNA is filed under the name Bos taurus (domestic cattle). RNAcentral describes it as "long non-coding RNA NONBTAT011772". The record is from RNAcentral. Lineage: Eukaryota; Metazoa; Chordata; Mammalia; Artiodactyla; Bovidae.